Molecule: transfer RNA, 73 nt
Filed under: Stegodyphus mimosarum
Lineage: Eukaryota; Metazoa; Arthropoda; Arachnida; Araneae; Eresidae
Rfam family: tRNA
About the family: Transfer RNA (tRNA) molecules are approximately 80 nucleotides in length.
Source: Rfam by way of RNAcentral
GCCUUCGUGGUUUAGUGGUCAGCAAACUCGACGCGUAACCGAGAGGUCCGUGGUUCGAUUCCCGGCGAAGGCG